This 127-nucleotide non-coding RNA is filed under the name Scrippsiella hangoei. The record is from RNAcentral. Lineage: Eukaryota; Dinophyceae; Peridiniales; Peridiniaceae.
CUCUUCGCCAUGUGGGUGGCCUGCCGCAGGGGCAGGGGAGGCGGCGAGGUUGCUGCGGCCGAACAGGUGUAUGUUGACAGCAGAUCCUCGAGCAAGAAGGAGACGGAGUGAUGUGUGGCGCCACAGC